This 663-nucleotide long non-coding RNA is filed under the name Homo sapiens (human). RNAcentral describes it as "non-protein coding lnc-LTF-1:5". The record is from RNAcentral. Lineage: Eukaryota; Metazoa; Chordata; Mammalia; Primates; Hominidae.
ACUCUGAGUAGGUAACAGGUACCAGCUACUGUCAGCAGGGAGGAAGGUAUGUGGUGACCACGAGUCCAGACCUGAGGGUCCUGACCCUCUAAUGCGGCCUCUCACCAGUGUUCGCAGAAACCCACCCGCUGAUUCAAUACGGGGACCAGGAACCUGCCAUGACAGUCACGACUCAGUCUGCCUGCACCUACAUGAUUAAAAAGCUUUAUUGCUCACACAAAGCCUGUUUGGUGGUCUCUUCAUAUGGAUGCGCAUAACAUUUGGUGCCGAAGACCCCGGACAGGGUGACUCCUUCGGGAGAUUGGUCCCCUCUCCUCACCCUCACUCCAUGAGAAGAUCCACCUACGACCUCAGGUCCUCAGACCAGCCCAAGGAACAUCUCACCAAUUUCAAACCGGGCUUCCCUCUUGUCUGGAGGAAAAAGAAAAAAGAGAACCAGACUUAGACACAACUUCUUGUGGGCACAUAUUCAGAAGGCAUCUCACUGGAGAGGGUUUAGUUCUCCUUAGCAGAAGAUAAGAUUUCAAGAUUUCAGCUAAGACUCAUCUCUCUGCAAAUCUUUCUUUUGAGAGCAUCUUCACCAGGAGGAGAUUCCAUCUCAAGAGACCACUUUCACUGCUCAUAUGUAAGAAGCAACUCUUCAUCUGUUCAAGUUUGAUCAUG